AUGCAUAGUGCUCGAAGUCUGACCUAAGGCUACUUAUUCUUCUUCUGGACUUAUUUAAAAGGAAAAUAUUGCAAAGAACAGAAAUGCCAUGACAUUUUUACACCCAUGUACAAUUCUCCAGAUAAUUUGAUUUUAAUACUGACCAGCCAGCGUUCUUUAACAUGCUCUGAAAUUCCCUGGUAACUGACUCCAGUGGGCAGAUUCAUUCAGUCUAUCAGAAGAAGAAGAAGGUGGGUCGUGUUGCUGGUUGUCAUUGGGCCCUGGACCUCCCAGGACCUCUCUUCUUCUGGCAGCUUGGGACAUAGAGCAGUGAGGCUGGAGCCAGGUGCAACUUCCAGAUGCAUAGAAGACAGAGCCAUUGGUACAUCUACUGCCACCAUAAUGCCUUAGACACGGUAUGGAAAGCUCGACAUCUCUGAAUCUUCAGAUCAUUUGAGACCUUGAAUAGACAGACACCUCUAUUUUGGGGCCAUCUGGUUCACAACGGGGCUAGUGACAAACUUUGUUAACUAGAAGUCAAGCCAUUUUUUGGGGCGCCUGGGUGGCUCGGUCGGUUAAGCGUCCGACUUCGGCUCAGGUCAUGAUCUCACGGUCCGUGGGUUCAAGCCCCACGUCGGGCUCUGUGCUGAUGGCUCAGAGCCUGGAGCCUGUUUCAGAUUCUGUGUCUCCCUCUCUCUGUGACCCUCCCCUGUUCAUGCUCUGUCUCUCUCUGUCUCAAAAAUAAAUAAACGUUAAAAAAAAAUUUUUUU
Long non-coding RNA from Neofelis nebulosa (Clouded leopard), 749 nucleotides. RefSeq lists it as uncharacterized. NCBI's taxonomy places the organism in Eukaryota, Metazoa, Chordata, Mammalia, Carnivora, Felidae. The record is from RefSeq and is a predicted model, not a curated record. The transcript has 2 exons.